UUUGAAAGAGAAUCAACACUCAUAAAAUAAAAGAAAGAAUGAUGCUUUGGGUUUGUUUCAGUUUCACUACGCGUUCCUAUUCUUCACAUUCCCUCUCUCUAUAAUCUCUUGAAAUUCACCAUGAUGACCCGUUUCAAAUUCAUUCAUUAAUUCUUGAAAGACGCGUUCUGUAACAAAAGAUUAUGCGAAUGGGUAAAAGUUAAGAUCGACGCUUGAGUUGGGUCGAAUAGCGAUGAUUGUUUUGGUGUUUCUUCAAAAACGAUCUCGCAACGGAGAACUGAAUCGGUUUUCUAAGGUUAAAGACCUUAGAAGUGGACUAAAUGACCCAAAAGUAGAAGUUGACGUUGUUGUUAGCUUGGCUUGGUCUCGAGAUGGUUCUCUGCAGAAAAAUAGGAUAUGAUCUUGUGAAUGAUCUCUCGGUAUUUACUGAAAGCGAUUCCAAGUUUUGUGUGGACAUCACAAGCACAAAGGAUGGCAAGUUCAUUACUGUGAAUUCAAACUCAAGGACUUCAUCUGAGGAUGGAACUUAUAUGUCUUCUAUUAUGAUUUAUACAAAAAAAAUUCUUUUCUAAUGACAUGUUUAUCUUGAUGCAUAUCACAGGUUUAUGUUAUAGAUUCUGCCAAUCCAAUGGAUGGUUUACAAAGACUAUGUGAACGUUCUUCUGGUGUACAGUAUUUUGUAGAACAUCACUCCAGUCUAUUUUAUAUCCUUACUAAUGCUCCUUUGCCUGAUAGUAAAUGUUCUGGCGGUGAGUAUUACCUUGUUAGGUGCUGAGUUGAAGAUAUACAGUCACCUAAAUUACAGAAUAUCAUCCUUCCCGAUAAAGAUACAAGGCUAUGUGAUAUGGACAUCUUUAAUGGUCAUCUGGCUGUUCUCCUCGAUAAGAAAGGUGUCUUCCUAUGUUAUGUUCUUUGAAAUUACCUUUCCAAAUUGAUUUCAAGGUAUAUUAUUAGACUUCAAUCACAAUGAAACUGAUGCUAUCUGAUAUACAUUUUCUAAGCUUAAUUUAUAUGGGAUAACUGAAUGGCUUAGUUUGAGGUUAGUUAAUUGAUAUGAAGAGGAUCAUCAAAGAGCCAAAUAAAAAUAUGUUGUGGCCUUGCUCUGUCAUGUUACUUGUUGUCUCAUUGUGCAUAAAAUUUUAUCCCAUAGCAAUAGAAUGACAGAUACACUACUGGGUAACCAUCGUGUCAAUCAUGGAUUUCUGUGCCUUCUAUUUGGAGUUCGAUUUGGAAGGCCAAGGUACCAGAGCGAGUUCGUACAUUUAUAUGGCAGACAGCGCACAAUAGAUUGCUAACCAGCAUUUAUGUGGAGAUGUUGAGGAAAACCAUCCUUCAUGCUUUAAGGGAUUGUCAACUAGCAAUGGAAUUAUGGAGAAAUUUGAUCCCUCAUAAUUAUAGAAGCCUUUCUUGGAUGUUGAAUUACAUGAAUGGAUUUGUUUGAAUUUGAACAACUCAGUUCCUUGGAAUGGUAUAAGUGGCUGGUGCGAGGUCUGCGCAGUAGCAUGCCAUAGCCUUUGGUAAUGGAGGAAUAAGGAGGCUCAUGAUGAUGAUUUUGUUAGACCAAACCUUCCAGUACAGCAGGUGUUGAAACUGCUAAGUGAGUAUGUUCAUGCCUCAAAGAAUAACUUGAUAGGUUGGUGUCCACCUCAGACAAAUUAUAUAAAAUUGAACACAAAUGGUGCAUAUAACGAACAGCAAGCGGCUGGUUGUGGGGGAGUGAUUCGAGGUUGCGACGGCGAAUGGUUGGGUGGAUUUUGCCAAAGGGUCUUGGUUUAUGCAGUUCUUUUGUCGCCGAGCUUUGGGGCGUGCUAGAAGGACUGAAGUAUGUUCGGCGGUUGGUAUGUUAAAUGCGGUUUAGUUUUAUGUAAAUCUGCCUGUUGGUAUGUUCUUUUUCAUGCACACAAUAAUUGCAACACUUCCUCGCGCACCGAAAAUUUUCUUACUCUCUAAUGAAACUUUUAUCAUUAGUUUCUGUCUAUGUGGUAUUCUGAGUUUCUGACAAUAGUUUCCUUGUAAUUUUCUUACUCUCUAAUGAAACUUUUAUUAUUUUUUGUCUUUCAUUGUGAAGGAAAAGGAAAACCUUUAUGCAUCAUUUUUGUUUUUUAAGCACUGUUUUCAUUUUAUUUUUCAGAAAAGUAAUGAUAGAAACAGAAUGUCUAUUCGGUUGACUGAGGAGGCUGAGAGAUAUAUUGAGGAUUUUAUUUCAAAUGUUGAAGAUACAGAUAUUUUGUCACUUGAUGGAGAAAGGAGUGACACAAGCUCAUCCAUCAGAGGACUGAUAAAACCAGAAACAUCUAGCAGUCCACCGUUGCCUAUAUCUCUUCCUGUUUUGAUGGAUGGGAUUAACGUAACCAUGAUUGCAAUGGGAAACAACUAGCGAACCUACUUCUAUGACAAGCAUGAAUAAAAGCACUUUUGGCAUCGACUCCAAAUAUUACCACUCUGAUUUCCACUCAGGUUAUCAUUGAACUUUUAAAUUGUUUUCACAUGAAAUGCAUUUGAUAUUUCAUGGAUGUAACAUAACCAUUUUAAUAUUAACAUAUUUAUGCAUUAAGUCUCCACACGCACA
Trifolium pratense (red clover) is the source of this 2569-nucleotide long non-coding RNA. RefSeq lists it as uncharacterized. Lineage: Eukaryota; Viridiplantae; Streptophyta; Magnoliopsida; Fabales; Fabaceae. The record is from RefSeq and is a predicted model, not a curated record. The transcript is spliced from 4 exons.